GAGCGGGCAUCGCAAGAUGUCAGCGGCAGACGGGAGAGUAACACGUGGGAACGUGCCCUUCAGUUCGGAACAACCCAGGGAAACUUGGGCUGAUACCGGAUACGUCCGUAAGGAGAAAGAUUUAUCGCUGAAGGAUCGGCCCGCGUCUGAUUAGCUAGUUGGUGGGGUAAUGGCCCACCAAGGCGACGAUCAGUAGCUGGUCUGAGAGGAUGAUCAGCCUCACUGGGACUGAGACACGGCCCAGACUCCUACGGGAGGCAGCAGUGGGGAAUAUUGGACAAUGGGCGCAAGCCUGAUCCAGCCAUGCCGCGUGGGUGAUGAAGGCCCUAGGGUUGUAAAGCCCUUUCGGCGGGGAAGAUAAUGACGGUACCCGCAGAAUAAGCCCCGGCUAACUUCGUGCCAGCAGCCGCGGUAAU
This 416-nucleotide ribosomal RNA is filed under the name uncultured bacterium. Its description in RNAcentral is "bacterial SSU rRNA". It matches the Rfam family "Bacterial small subunit ribosomal RNA", at positions 64 to 524 of the family's 1533-position model. The record is from RNAcentral.